UGGGGAAUCUUGCGCAAUGCGCGAAAGCGUGACGCAGCAACACCGCGUGAGGGAAGACGGCCUUCGGGUUGUAAACCUCUUUCAGGAGGGACGAAGGUCGGCCGGUGAAUAGCCGUGUCGUCUGACGGUACCUCCAGAAGAAGCUCCGGCUAACUACGUGCCAGCAGCCGCGGUAAUACGUAGGGAGCAAGCGUUGUCCGGAAUCAUUGGGCGUAAAGCGCGCGUAGGCGGCCCGAUAAGUCUGCUGUGAAAGUCAACGGCUCAACCGUUGGAUGCCGGUGGAUACUGUCGGGCUAGAGUACGGAAGAGGCAAGUGGAAUUCCUGGUGUAGCGGUGGAAUGCGCAGAUAUCAGGAGGAACACCUAUAGCGAAGGCAGCUUGCUGGGACGUUACUGACGCUAAGGCGCGAAAGCGUGGGGAGCGAACAG
This 428-nucleotide ribosomal RNA is filed under the name uncultured bacterium. RNAcentral describes it as "bacterial SSU rRNA". It matches the Rfam family "Bacterial small subunit ribosomal RNA", at positions 355 to 775 of the family's 1533-position model. The record is from RNAcentral.